UUUUGGAGCAAUUGGUGGAAUUAAGUCACGGAACUGAAAUACGUAAAUGUGCUAUAAGGGAGCAAUCAUGGUCUAAUUGAAGGUACUAUUUUGGCAUUUCACUGGAGGGAUUGAGGAAAAAUCACAAAAAAAAAACUCAGGAUAGCUAGCAUCCUGGCCAAGAUUCAAAAUGGGCACCUCAGAAGCACCACCACUUUCACCAACUUGCUCAGUGAAGAAUCAUAUGGCAGUGAUCACAAGUAAAUUUGGAACAUUAUGUAUCAGUACCUUCAGACAAGUCUGUUCAGUACUUUCCACCUGCCUUGGUCCAGAAUUAGUAAUUGAACGAGAUCGAGGAUACCAGGGUAUUUUGUGCCGGGAUAGAAGGAUUGGGUCUUGAGGUGUACAUCAGUGUCGUGUGUUAAACGAUUAUAUCAGUUCUAUUAUUAGAAUCAUCAUUUUAUUAUCUUAGUAUUAUUAU
This is a long non-coding RNA of Cryptotermes secundus, 460 nucleotides long. RefSeq lists it as uncharacterized. NCBI's taxonomy places the organism in Eukaryota, Metazoa, Arthropoda, Insecta, Blattodea, Kalotermitidae. The transcript has 3 exons. The record is from RefSeq and is a predicted model, not a curated record.